Long non-coding RNA from Fundulus heteroclitus (mummichog), 5090 nucleotides. RefSeq lists it as uncharacterized. Lineage: Eukaryota; Metazoa; Chordata; Actinopteri; Cyprinodontiformes; Fundulidae. The record is from RefSeq and is a predicted model, not a curated record. The transcript has 2 exons.
UUGAAAUAUUAACUUUUUUUUUUAUUAUUGUUAUUAUUAUUAUUAUUAUUAUUAAGUCAGCUGUUGAUGCCAAGAUGCAAGUUUCAUUUAUUUAUCAUUUACACAGGUAGCUUCUGGGAGCGUUUUCUGUUUCUCAAGCCGAAAGAGGGAUUUUUGUUUUUUUUACCUUGCCUGUUGGAAGUCAGCUUCCACACCACUUGUGUCCCUUCUGAAACACUACACACUAAUAAGGGUUAAUAAUGCCAGAUAGCUGCCGUACACUGUAGCUGUUUAAUAACGACUUUAUAACCGCAGCUCGCUCCGAUCAGAUUUGCCUUACCGGAGCGCGGCAUCGUUGCAUUGUGCUCGGCCCGAACGGGAACGCGCGCUUGUUGGAGCGCCGCGCGUUACGCCGUUCGGCAAAGCGGUGGCGCGCGUUUUUGUGACAAGUUUGAUUUUGGAAACACUUUGUUUUGUACUUACGCCACACGUUUGCUCCGUUUUGUUUGGUCGGGAUUCUGUUAGGCACGACGCUCUUCUGCCGAUUACACUUUUUUUUUGUUUCCUCUUCUCGUUUUCACUUCUGGACAUCCGCCUCCUGAUGAGAUGCUGGACCGUUGCUGCUUUUUUUUUUUUUUUUUUUUUUUUUUUUUAAAGGGGAGGAAAAAGCAGAACCCUCUAAUGCUGAAACGAAAUGAUCCCGUUGUAGUCCAGAUUUCGAACAAUCAUUAUAAUAAUUAUGUUGUUGUUUUUUUUCUAUGAAGAAAUGUAUCGCAUAAUCUUUUUCUACAAAUAUGAAACUGUGACGCAGCUGUAGAAGAUCUAAAAGCCGAAGGUUACUAUCAUUAUAGCGCCAAACAAUCUCAUUUAACUAUCAUAAACAAAAAAAAAAAUCAUGGAUUUAAGUCAUUUCAUUCAAAUCUCCUGCAUUAUCUAGAUGUAUAACACAAAAAGGGUCAUAUUAUAAGUUUGUAUUGUUGUUGGUUUUGAUAGUUUUGGCUUAUAACCAAUGAAAACGCAAUCCUUAGUUUCUCUGAAAACAAAUUAUUACAUAAGAAUUAUAUUCAGGAUUUCUCCAUUAGGAACCGCGUUCUUAAUGCAGAAAUGUCAGCCGACCAAAAAGUGUGGCCAUGUACAGGACAAUAAGCACUGAGAGGGUCAGUUUGGGGUUUUCAUGAGCUGUAAGCCGUAACCGUCAAAUCCAACACAAAGGUGCUUAUAGUCAAUCAGUCUGUGUUUAAUCUAUGUGAGGAGUUUUUUUUUUUUUAAUUGAAUUAAUCAAACACAUUAACUUUUCAAUGCCCCUCUGGUUUAUUAGGUUGCAGCUGUAUGUUCUGAGAGGGUAGUACUAAACAGACUUAUUUUUUUCUUUCUUCCAAGGUCAGUUUUGCAGAUUAUUUAUUUUUUGGCUUUUUUUUUUUGUCCCCCGUCUGCCGUUGCUCUGCAGCCAGGCUAUGAAAAGGAAAAAAGCGUAUUUUUAAUUUUUCAAAAUUCUUAUAGUCAAUGUUGUAUUUUGUGUACAUUGGUUAGGCACGGCUGCGUUUAAUUCCAGAUCCGGGUUUGGAUCAGGACAGACAGCAGAGGUUCGAGCUCAGAUGGCGGUGGCGCUGCAAGCCGGCUCGGUUUCAGGCUGUGCAGAGGCGCACAUUCUCAACGUUUGAAAUUCUUCGGUCUCACUUUUCAGCUUCUGUGCGCGUUUCUCUUGCAACACUGAGCAUGCCACCGCGCGAUGUACAUAUUUAACCCUGUUGCGUUCUUAGAAUUGGGUUUAGCCGGUCGUUUGUGCCAUUACUGGACUGCCUCCAGAGACAUUUUUUUCUAUCUAUACAUUCCAGCUGGAUGCCUUGACUCAAGCACUCUGUCACAGACUGGGAGACAGUCGUCACAGGGGGGGGGGCUUGCAGUGCUCAUGAGGUUGUCUCCGUUACUUUCUUGACUGGAAACAGAUACACUGUUUGGACAAGAGGAUCGCAUGGAGGCAGCAGGCGACCCGACUUUGAGGGGUAACCCCUUAUUUUUUUUUAUGAGCUCUGUCUGGUGGCACGACGUUGGCUGUGUUUUUGAGACAAUCCAUACAUAUUUUUCACAACAGAUCUACUCUCAGGCCCUUUUUAUGAAGGGACAUAUCCUCACGUGUCUUUUCUAGCUCGUAUGCUUUUCAAUGGCACAGUUUCUCGGCCUGCAGUCUCUUUUCUCAGUCCCCACUUAUUAGUCCUUGCAUUAUGUACACACACACACGAAGAACUUUUGACACUUUGACGAAUUUAACGCGUCGGCGUUACGUUUUUGGUCCGCACACUAAAAACAAUGAACUGGCUGCCCAAAUAAAGACCGCUUCGGACAGGGUUAAAUAGCAUUAAGUGUUUGCACUUUUCAUUGAAGUUUCUUUUUGUUUCCCCCUCCCCGUAUAAACUUGAAUGUUUUAGUUUUUUGUUUAGUUUUUUUACUUCAUGUCUGUCUCCGCCAAUUGACUGAACACAUUAUUAAACAUUCCAGUAGAGGUUCAGAAUAAUAAUGAAGCACGACUAAGGGAAGUUUGGAUUGUUUCUAUGUUGGUUUGUGCAAAAAAACGUGUGAAGUGACAUGCCACCUCUUAUUGGAAAAACAUGCUUCUGUGCUUUAGCUAGAUAUUCCCGGUCACUGUUACCUGAGUCUGAUAUUUCAAGUGUUCGCUUCACCCUGGGUUCUCAUGAUGAAAUAAUCGAGAGAUUCAAUGUUCUGUGUCUCAUAGUGGGUUUCUUGUAUGCUUUGUGAAAGUGAUGGUGGGGUAAAUGCUGUAAAAUUAGUAUUUUGACAAGGUGAUCGUGGAACACAUGUAUAUAUUUUUUUGCGAUUGGUUUUGCACUGUUACAUUAAUAUGCACUAAAAAAAAAAAAGGAAACAUACCUCAUUUUCUAUUGAACAUUAAUUGUGCAAGAGUGCUAUUGCUUUUUUUUUUUGUGGGGUAAAUUAAAAAAAAAAGAAAAGAAAAACAAGAUGUACAAAAGAAACUGUGGCCAAAUAAUUUCUAACGUUGGUUGCAGUUGGUCUUUAAGCCAGCUGAGUAAUAAUUGUAAAGGUUUGAAAAGGGCUGUUUUGGCUUCAGAAGAAAAAAAAAAAAAACAAGUUUGUCAAAAAGGUAGCACCGACUCAAUACAACUUGCUGCAAUUUAAUAUACUACUCAGGUUAGUGGUCCAUCUGUCUUAUGGCUACCGAUAAACAUGACUGAGUAGCAACACACAGCUUCUAGAUAGCGAGUUUUGUAUCAUGAGGAAGGAGAAAAGAUGUUGAGGGUAGAAACCUAGAGAUCGAUUCUAAUUGCUAAAACAAAACGGCUAAAGUGCAGGGAUCGUUUUCGCGAGGAAAGAAGUGAGCACAACCCAGCUGAAAGUUGCCUGAGAGUGAUGACGAUGUUACAUUUAUAUUCAAUUACAUUUGAUCAAGUACAAUUUUAUCCAGCAAGGAGGAAUCAGGAGAGAUGUUGUCUGAGAGCAGUGGUUUGCAGAGCUUAAAAAAAAUAAAAAGAAAGAUAAACACUCUACAACAGCAGCAAACAACCACUAGUGAUCACGCAUGUAAUUGGAAACACUAAUGUUCUGCCUGCAUUCACAUAGUUAUUUCUGCUCCAGUUCUGACCAGCAUUGUUACUCUGACAGCACGGAUCAGCAGGUUCGUCCUGGUUGUCCCCAGUUUCCCUCUCCUCCACGUUACUCAAGUCUGUUUUACCCAUAAGAGUUUAGCUGCACUCAUGUAGCUGUCAAAACUUUAUUCCCAGGACACAGUCUGUCACAAAUCUGAAACUCUAAAGCUCUGUCUGCAUUAAGUUUUCCCAUAUGUUGCUCGGCCCUAAAAAAGUCACUUCAAGCUAAUUCUAAAAGUGUCUCGCAUGGAUAGGAAGUUAUAAUACUGGUAUACAGACCGGCCGCAGCUACGUUUAAACACUCUCCUCCGUUUAGCUCAGAUGCAGAGAUUUGGCCGAUCGAAGCUAAUUAGCUAAGCAUGCUCAUAAUGUUCUCAGAGAAGUGUGAGAAGCUCAAACUAGAGUACGGGAGGGGAGAGGUUUGCCUUUUCGAAGGAGCGCGUGACGUUUGAGACGUUGACGCAACGUCACACUCCCAGAUUAAACUUUGUGAAGCAUGUGGGGAAAGAAAUAUGAGGCACGAGGACAUUUUCAUUAUUUGCCACUCAUCGCCAUUGAUUCCAGUGUUUGGUCUGUUAUGCUAUGAGCGUCACGCAAACAAGCAAAAUUAUUAUUGUUUUUUUUGUUUUUUUUUGACAAUAUGGGGAGGUUACUCGUUUUCAUUGAUCGUUAAUUACUUAAAUGACCAAAUAAUGUAUGUAGCCUUUCACAUGACAGUCACAUAUUGUAUAUGGUGAUGUGUGUAUAUAUAAAUAUGAACAUAUAUAUAUAUACAUAUAUGUGUAUAUAUAUAUAUAUAUAUAACAAAAUGCCUUAUAGACGAGGGACAUUCAACCUGAUUAGAAGUUACCUGGAUAAUAAAAAAACUAAUAAGAUCAGUACCUGUUUUGUUGUCGUUAUGUCCAAGACAACCUAAACUUUCCUUUGAAAAUGGAAAAUAAUCCUUUCUUAUUUUACAGGGCGAACAAAUCAAGACAAAUGUUAGUGGCUCUGUUUUCUACGCAGAUCAUCGUACAACAGUAACCUGACGGAUCUUUAAGCUGCUAACCUGAAUGUCCUUGAACUGUUUCUAACAGGUGAUGGUGUGAAUGUCACCGUCAGACCCCACGGAUGACUUACAUGACAAUCUGUGGAAAGAUGGAGAGAAGGAGAAGACACGAACCCAGGACAUCAGCCUCUACAUGCGGGGCCCCCUCUUCUUUUGAGCCACUUGUUUCCCCCCCAGAAAGAUUUUUAAUACAGAAAUCUUAUUGCCAUGUUGGGAUCUGCACAAUCAUGGGGAAGACUAGUGACACGCCAGCAUCCAUAUAGAUGGUAAACCACAUAAGCUCACCGCUAAAUGACGCGGGCGUUGGGAAUCCAGUCGUAUUGAUAAAAAAAUUAAGUGGAAGGAAAACAUGCUAUAGAAAAAAAGUGUAAAAGCAGCUUUAAAGUGACUGUGAAGCAAUGACCAUUUAUUGGUUUGGAGAUUUGCAAGGUGCAGCCUACAUC